UUCGAAUCAUUCACAAUGGGCGCAAGCCUGAUGAUGCAACGCCGCGUGGGGGACGAAGGUCCUCGGAUUGUAAACCCCUGUCACUAGGGAGCAAAACCUGGGUUCAUAGCCCAGC
This 115-nucleotide ribosomal RNA is filed under the name uncultured bacterium. Its description in RNAcentral is "partial 16S ribosomal RNA". It matches the Rfam family "Bacterial small subunit ribosomal RNA", at positions 356 to 468 of the family's 1533-position model. The record is from RNAcentral.